GGCCCUACCGUGCCGGCAUCGUUCUCUGUCUCGUACCGCAAAGCUCCAUCUCUGCAUGUGUCACUCGCUCCCUUGACCAGCGAGCCCGCUGGAAUUGACUGACUGGGACCGACGUUGCCGUUCUCAGUAAAGGGGAGCGCACAGGCUCGGGGAAGGUCCCGUUCUCUGAUGAGGAGGUGGCUGCCUGCGCUCUGGAAGCAGGGGAGUUCAGGGUUACCUGGAUUGUUUCCAGAGUCCCAUUUUGGAGACUUCAGAAGCUGUGUGGGUACCUACAUCCCAUCUGUAGCCUCGAACCGGCUCCUCCUGGGGAGGACGGUGCCUGGGGUAAGAAGCUCAGAGACCAUAAUGACAUCACUGCAACCAUGAUUUCAACAGGCUCAUGCACUGCGAGGUUAUUGUGAUCUGAAAUCUCUGCUCCUGGAAAGAGGAAUUUAUUCACAAGAUUUUAAUCUAGGAUGAUCCUUCACUCCUACAAACCUGCUGACGAAUGAUGGCAGUGUCCCCUGAGUCAAGCUCACGACAUGCUCAGGAGCUGCCUGCCUCUGGAGCAUCCUGCAUCACGGCCCCAGGGGCCCUGAGUGCAGGGAGGACCUGUGAGCCACCAGUAAAGCACGCA
This is a long non-coding RNA of Empidonax traillii (willow flycatcher), 616 nucleotides long. RefSeq lists it as uncharacterized. The record is from RefSeq and is a predicted model, not a curated record. Lineage: Eukaryota; Metazoa; Chordata; Aves; Passeriformes; Tyrannidae. The transcript has 4 exons.